UUGCUAGGGUACUCGGGGUGGUUGCUAGGGCGGUUGCUAGGGUCCCCAUGAUGGUUGCUAGGGCCGUUGCUAGGGUACCCAGGGUGGUUGCUAGGGUAAUCGGGGCGGUUGCUAGGGUGUUGCUAUGUGGUUGCUAGGGUACCCGGGGUGGUUGCUAGGGCGGUUGCUAGGGUCCCCAUGAUGGUUGCUAGGGCCGUUGCUAGGGUACCCUGGGUGGUUGCUAUGGUAAUCGGGGUGGUUGCUAGGGUGUUGCUAUGUGGUUGCUAGGGUACCCGGGGUGGUUGCUAGGGCGGUUGCUAGGGUCCCCAUGAUGGUUGCUAGGGCCGUUGCUAAGGUACCCAGGGUGGUUGCUAGGGUAAUCGGGGUGGUUGCUAGGGUACCCCGGGUGGUUGCUAGGGCAGUUGCUAGGGUCCCCAUGAUGGUUGCUAGGGCCGUUGCUAAGGUACCCAGGGUGGUUGCUAGGGUAAUCGGGGUGGUUGCUAGGGUGUUGCUAUGUGUUGCUAGGGUCCCCAUGAUGGUUGCUAGGGCCGUUGCUAAGGUACCCAUGGUGGUUGCUAGGGUAAUCGGGGUGGUUGCUAGGGUGUUGCUAUGUGGUUGCUAGGGUACCCGGGGUGGUUGCUAGGGCGGUUGCUAGGGUCCCCAUGAUGGUUGCUAGGGCCGUUGCUAAGGUA
This is a long non-coding RNA of Carassius carassius (crucian carp), 671 nucleotides long. RefSeq lists it as uncharacterized. NCBI's taxonomy places the organism in Eukaryota, Metazoa, Chordata, Actinopteri, Cypriniformes, Cyprinidae. The transcript is spliced from 3 exons. The record is from RefSeq and is a predicted model, not a curated record.